GAUGAAGAACGUAGCGAAAUGCGAUAAGUAAUGUGAAUUGCAGAAUUCAGUGAAUCAUCGAAUCUUUGAACGCACCUUGCACCCUUUGGACUGCUCCAAAGGGUAUGCUCGUUUGAGUGUCAUUGUACUCUCACACUCUCUGAUCCUUUGGAUUUGGGGAGCAGUGGACUUGGGUGCUUGCUGCUUCCUUGUGGCUCACCUGAAAUGCAUCAGUGCAUCUCUCGAUUGGACAUAGUACGGCGUGAUAAGUGUCUUCGCCGGCACCUCAUAUGAGGGUGGCCGAUCGGGAGCUCUGUGCUUUCAAACCGUCUUCGGACAACGCUGACAACUUGACCUCAAAUCGAGUAGGACUACCCGCUGAACUUAAGCAUAUCCAAUAAGCGGAGGA
This 388-nucleotide unclassified non-coding RNA is filed under the name soil metagenome. Its description in RNAcentral is "partial contains 5.8S ribosomal RNA, internal transcribed spacer 2, and large subunit ribosomal RNA". The stretch from base 1 to 122 matches the Rfam family "5.8S ribosomal RNA", at positions 35 to 154 of the family's 154-position model. The record is from RNAcentral.